Molecule: ribosomal RNA, 492 nt
Filed under: uncultured bacterium
Lineage: Bacteria
Description: partial 16S ribosomal RNA
Rfam family: Bacterial small subunit ribosomal RNA
Source: RNAcentral
AGUGAACGCUGGCGGUAGGCCUAACACAUGCAAGUCGAACGGCCGCACAGUAAGAGCUUGCUCUUACGGGUGGCGAGUGGCGGACGGGUGAGGAAUACGUCGGAAUCUACUUUUUCGUGGGGGAUAACGUAGGGAAACUUACGGUAAUACCGAAUACGACCUACGGGUGAAAGCAGGGGAUCUUCGGACCUUGCGCGAAUGAAUGAGACGAUGUCGGAUUAGCUAGUUGGGGGGGUAAAGGCCCACCAAGGCGACGAUCCGUAGCUGGUCUGAGAGGAUGAUCAGCCACACUGGAACUGAGACACGGUCCAGACUCCUACGGGAGGCAGCAGUGGGGAAUAUUGGACAAUGGGCGCAAGCCUGAUCCAGCCAUACCGCGUGGGUGAAGAAGGCCUUCGGGUUGUAAAGCCCUUUUGUUGGGAAAGAAAAGCAGCAGGUUAAUACCCCGCUGUUCUGACGGUACCCAAAGAAUAAGCACCGGCUAACUUCGUG